This 440-nucleotide ribosomal RNA is filed under the name uncultured bacterium. RNAcentral's name for it is "partial 16S ribosomal RNA". It matches the Rfam family "Bacterial small subunit ribosomal RNA", at positions 338 to 795 of the family's 1533-position model. The record is from RNAcentral.
CCUACGGGAGACAGCAGUGGGGAAUAUUGCACAAUGGGGGGAACCCUGAUGCAGCGACGCCGCGUGAGUGAAGAAGUAUUUCGGUAUGUAAAGCUCUAUCAGCAGGGAAGAAAAUGACGGUACCUGACUAAGAAGCCCCGGCUAACUACGUGCCAGCAGCCGCGGUAAUACGUAGGGGGCAAGCGUUAUCCGGAUUUACUGGGUGUAAAGGGAGCGUAGACGGUUAUGCAAGUCUGAAGUGAAAGCCCAAGGCUCAACCAUGGGACUGCAUUGGAAACUGUAAAACUGGAGUGCAGGAGAGGUAGGCGGAAUUCCUGGUGUAGCGGUGAAAUGCGUAGAUAUUAGGAGGAAAACCAGUGGCGAAGGCAGCCUGCUGGACUGCAACGGACGUUGAGGCCCGAAAGAGUGGGGAGCAAACAGGAUUAGAUACCCUAGUAGUC